UUUUAUAUAGUUUAAUUAAAAACAUUAUAUUUUCAAUAUAAAAAAAGUAAUAAAUACUUAUAAAAU
This 66-nucleotide transfer RNA is filed under the name Characopygus scythicus. Its description in RNAcentral is "tRNA-Glu". Lineage: Eukaryota; Metazoa; Arthropoda; Insecta; Hymenoptera; Cephidae. The record is from RNAcentral.